Long non-coding RNA from Mirounga angustirostris (Northern elephant seal), 3528 nucleotides. RefSeq lists it as uncharacterized. The transcript is spliced from 6 exons. The record is from RefSeq and is a predicted model, not a curated record. Lineage: Eukaryota; Metazoa; Chordata; Mammalia; Carnivora; Phocidae.
GGGGUUCUCUGUGCCUCCUGGAUUUUGAUGCCUGUUUCCUUCCCCAAAUUAGGGAACUUCUCUGCUAUGAUUUGCUCCAAUAUACCUUCUGCCCCUCUCUCUCUUUCUUCUUCUUCUGGGAUCCCAAUUAUUCUAAUGUUGUUUUGUCUUAUGGUAUCGCUUAUCUCUCGAAUUCUGCCCUCGUGAUCCAGUAGUUGUUUAUCUCUCUUUUUCCCAGCUUCUUUAUUUUCCAUCGUUUGGUCUUCUAUAUCACUGAUUCUCUGUUUUGCCUCAUUUAUCCUAGCAGUUAGCGCCCCCAUUUUUGAUUGCACCUCAUUAAUAGCCUUUUUGAUUUCAACUUGGUUAGAUUUUAGUUCUUUUAUUUCUCCAGAAAGGGUUUCUCUAAUAACGUUCAUGCUUUUUCAAGCCCAGCUAGUAUCUUUAAAAUCCUGAUUCUGAACUCUAGGUCCAACAUCUUACUAAUGUCCGUAUUGAUUAGGUCCCUGACAGUCGGUAUUACCUCUUGUUCUUUUUGUUGAGGUGAUUUUUUCUGUCUUGUCAUUUUUGUCUAGAGGAGAAUAGAUGAAUGAGAGAACAAAAUGCUAACAGGGUAACAAUGUCCCCAGAAAAUAUACUCUAAACAAAUCAGAAAAGACCUGAAACCAGGGGAAAAGAAAGGGAAAGAAAGAAAAAAGAAAAAGAUAAAAACAAACAAAAACAACAAAAAAAAACCCAGAAUAUGAUCAAAUAUGCUCAGGCUGGUGCAUAGGUCAGUGCCACACACUAGAUUCGGGGUGUAUUUUGGUCUGUUAGAAGAAAGUGCCUCCCAAAAUUUUAAGGAAAAACUUAUAUAUGUACAAAAAUAAGGGUUGAUACGUUGAAGGGAUGGAAUAUGACUGUAAAGAUGAAAAUUAUAAAAAUUUUAUAAAAGGAAUUGAUAAGAAGUUGUUUGAAAAAAGAAAGAAGAGGUUAAAAAAAAAAAAGGAGAGAAUGUGAUCGGGCAGGAGACUAGAACAAAGCCAUACACUAGAGAUUUAGGGUAUAUUUUGAUCUGUUAGAAGAAACUGUAUCUCAAAAUUUUAAAGAGAGAACAACUUAAAUAUAUAUAUGCCAAAAAUAAGGGUGACUACUAUGAAGGGAUAGAAUAUGACUCUAAAAAUGAAAAAUAAAAAUGUUUUAUAAAAAAGGGAUUGAUAAGAUGUUGGUUGAAAAAGGGAAAAAGAAAAGUUCAAAAAAAAAAGACAGUUAAAAAAAAUUAACUUCAAAAGACUAAAGAAUCAUGGUAAAAAAGCCGUGAAUUCUAUGUGCAGUAUUCCCCCAGCGCUGGAGUUCUGCCGUUCUCAUUGAUCGGUGAACUUGGUCUUGGCUGGCUGGUCUCGCUGAUCUUCUGGGGAGGGGCCUGUUGCCGUGGUUUCCAAAUGUCUCUGCCGGAGGCGGAAUUGCCCCGCCCUUGCCCCCUCCCGGCUAAGUGAUCUGCUCGGGUUUGCUCUCCGGGGCUUUUGUUCCCUGCGAGCUUUCCGUACAGCUUUGGAGGCCGAGAGUGAAAAUGGCGGCCUCCCAAUCUCCGCCCCAGAGGAGCCGAGAACUCGGGGCCCGCUCCUCAGUGAGCCCCCAGAGAAAAGCCGUCAGUCACUCCUGUCUCCCUGGUCUCCGGCCGCACCCCGUGCUCGACCGGCCUGUGACCGCGUGUUUCUAUCUCUGGCCCCCGACCCUGGGUGGAGUCUCCAAACCCAGCAGAUCCUUGGGGUUCACUUCCGUGCCGCUCCUCCCGGGGGAGAAGGGGAGUCUCCCCGGAUCUGCCCUUGUUGGGUACCUGCUUCCAGAAAGUGGUCGCUUUUCUGUUCAGAGUUGUUGCUAUUCUUUUCUUCGAUCUCCUGUUGGGUUUGUAGGUGUUCAGAAUGGUUUGAUCCCUAUCCAGCUGAAUUCCUGAGACCAGACGAAAUCCAGGUCUCCUACUCCUCUGCCAUCUUGCUCCGCCCCCCCAACUGGAAUCUAAAUAAAAACUUAAAAAGGUCUUUCACUAAAGUUUUAAUUUUUUCUCUUUAAGGUUUUGAACAUCUGUCACUAGAUUUACUCCUAAGUAACUUAGAUUUUUCUGCUAUUAUGUAUGAUGUCUCUGGUGGCUUUAAAGUAUGUUCACACAUUCUUUGAAAUGCCUCCCUUUAAAAGGUGGAGUUUAACUCACUCUUACUAGGUGUGAGAUGGACUUAGAGACUUAGUACUGUGGAAAAAAUAAAGCAGGAGAAAUUCAGAGACUAGAUCAUAAAGGCUUCUUCCUUGCUCUUUUUCAGAUCAUUCUCUGUGCAGGAAGGCAGUUAUCAUGUCAUGAGAAUAUUCCUGCAGUCUUAGAGAGAGGUCCAAAUGAAGGGAACUGAGACCUGGUUGAGGCCUGCAGCCUCCAUCCCUAUGAGCAGGCCAUCUUGGAAGGAGAUCCUCCAGCUCCAGUCAAGGAUUCAGAUGACUCCAGCCCCCAGCCUCCACCAUGAACCUGCAACCUCAUUAGAGAUCCUGAGCCAGAAUCAUCCAGCUGAGCCACUCCCACAUUCCUAAUCCUCAAUACCGUAAGAGUUGAAGAAAUGGAGGCUUGGAGAUGAAGAGAAUUUACCAGGAUUAUAGAGGAAAGUGAAAAUACGGAUAUGGUGAUUAAGAGCUUACCAGUUUGCAGAACUCAAAAUACACACACCUCGUAUGGAACACCAGGCAAGCCAGUAUUACACGACUGGAGAUGAAGAAAUGAAAGCAUGGAGAUGAAGAGAAUUUACAAAAUUAUAAGGCAAGUUUCCCUGCUGCUAAAAUCAAGGAUUCCAGCUUCCGUUUGGGUUCAAAAGCAUAAACUACUUUACCAGACGUUGUCCACAGAAGGAUCUUCUGCCAGCCAGACUGCAAAAUGAGAAGAUAGAUUCUCCAUGAAGUCCCGCUGGAACAGUGGUUUUCAAACUGUAGUUGACAUCAGAAUCACCUGAAGGGCUUGUGAAAACACAUUCCUGGACCCCACCCCCCAAGUUCCUCACUCAGCAGAUCUGGGAAGGGGCCUUUUUAACAAGUUCCCAGGGGAUGGAGAGGUUAACCCUACUGAGAACCACUGCCUUAGAGUGUUCAAGAAUGGCGCUACCCGUUACCUCUCUAGCUCUCUUCAUGGUAGAUGGUGUAGACUUAUAAAAGAUGGACACGCUUUGCUCAAGGACAAGCUCAAGGACAAGAAGGCACUUGUCCUGGAGCUACAUAUAAUGACAGAACAUGGAAAACAGAGAUUUAAGUAUGAAGCAGCAGAAUUGCUAGAAAUCUUUGCAUAGGUUUCUAGAUCGGGAAACAAAUUAGAAAAGGAACUUGCCUCUAAACAAGAGGAAUUUUAGGUACAGGCUAAGCUAGCUUCUUUUACAAAAUAAAUAUUUGGGGAGUGAAUAUUAAGUGGUACCUUGUUCUUUCAGUACUUGGUUGUGAGAGAAACUAGCCAAUUUAUAGGCCUGGUUACACAACAUCAAGAUCUAUAUCAUCUAGCUCAUGUAUUUAGUUAGAAUGCUUGAUAUUACUCAGGCUGCUGAUAGAGGU